GAUGAACGACUGGCGGUAUGCUUAACACAUGCGAAGUCGAACGGUCACUUCGGUGAUAGUGGCGGACGGGUGAGUAACGCGUGAGAAUCUGUCUUCAGGUCGGGGACAACAGUUAGAAAUGACUGCUAAUACCGGAUAUGCCUUAUGGUGAAAGACUUAUUGCCUGAAAGAGAGCUCGCGUCAGAUUAGCUAGUAGGUGGUGUAAGAGACUACCUAGGCGACGAUCUGUAGCUGGUCUGAGAGGACGAUCAGCCACACUGGAACUGAGACACGGUCCAGACUCCUACGGGAGGCAGCAGUGGGGAAUUUUCCGCAAUGGGCGAAAGCCUGACGGAGCAAUACCGCGUGAGGGACGAAGGCUUUUGGGUCGUAAACCUCUUUUCUCAAGGAAGAUGAUGACGGUACUUGAGGAAUAAGCAUCGGCUAACUCUGUGCCAGCAGCCGCGGUAAU
Molecule: ribosomal RNA, 451 nt
Filed under: uncultured cyanobacterium
Lineage: Bacteria; Bacillati; Cyanobacteriota
Description: bacterial SSU rRNA
Rfam family: Bacterial small subunit ribosomal RNA
Source: RNAcentral